RNAcentral lists this unclassified non-coding RNA (251 nucleotides) under Cladophialophora sp. Its description in RNAcentral is "partial contains small subunit ribosomal RNA, internal transcribed spacer 1, and 5.8S ribosomal RNA". The stretch from base 1 to 46 matches the Rfam family "Eukaryotic small subunit ribosomal RNA", at positions 1786 to 1831 of the family's 1831-position model. Lineage: Eukaryota; Fungi; Ascomycota; Eurotiomycetes; Chaetothyriales; Herpotrichiellaceae. The record is from RNAcentral.
AAGUCGUAACAAGGUUUCCGUAGGUGAACCUGCGGAAGGAUCAUUAAUGAGUAAGGGUCUUUCCAGGCCCGACCUCCAACCCUUUGUAUAACUACCAUGUUGCUUUGGCGGGCCCGUCUUUAACCGGACCGCCGGGGGUCUUUAACCUCUGGCCAGUGCUCGUCAGUAGCCCAUCACAAAUUCUUUAACCAUGUUAAAUCUGAAACUAGUUAAAUAAACUAAAACUUUCAACAACGGAUCUCUUGGUUCUG